Alosa sapidissima (American shad) is the source of this 450-nucleotide long non-coding RNA. RefSeq lists it as uncharacterized. The transcript has 2 exons. The record is from RefSeq and is a predicted model, not a curated record. NCBI's taxonomy places the organism in Eukaryota, Metazoa, Chordata, Actinopteri, Clupeiformes, Clupeidae.
ACUGACAUGCAGGGGAAGAAGAGGAAGAGUUGGAGAUGAUUGAUACUGAUGCUGCAUGUAGAUUAAGUGCCCUUCUCUCCAGAGUUUGGCCCCGUAUAGUGUCUUUGCUUGUCCGAUGCCAGCACAGCACACUCCAGGCCUGAGCACUUGCUGGCAGAUGAGCUGCAUAGUUUGCCGGCGUGUUUGUGUAGGACGGAAGAUUAUUUCUUUAUUUUGGGUUGAUACUUACACGUCAUAAUCUCCUCCAGAUGGCUCCCAUCUCUUGGGCACCAGGCAUGUGUGUCCGACAAAGCCCCUGCAGCAAAUGGAACAAGACCAGAAAUGGAUGGGGAUGUCAACUUACAUUUCCCCAGGGAUGUGCCAUUCAUCCUCUCAAACUGCAUGAUCAACGGGAAUGUUCAAAUUAAUAGCUAGGCCUGUCUAUGUCUAAAAUAAACAGCCAGUUUCCGA